RNAcentral lists this unclassified non-coding RNA (260 nucleotides) under Hevea brasiliensis (rubber tree). The record is from RNAcentral. Lineage: Eukaryota; Viridiplantae; Streptophyta; Magnoliopsida; Malpighiales; Euphorbiaceae.
CUUCAACACGGAAGGAAAAGUCUCCGAUCUGAGGAAUGGCAAGAGGUUGCUGAGAAGGUAUCGGAGGUCUCUAAGAUCGACAGGACUGACACACAAUGUCGUAACCGCCUGGAUACAUUGAAGAAGAAGUAUAAGAAGGAAAAAUCAAAAUCAACAGAAAUGGGUGGAUCUACAAGCAAAUGGGUUUACUUUAAGAAGAUGGACAUGUUGAUGUCUUCACCCCCAAACCAAGGUGGCCUAUCAUGUGGGUUAGAUUCGGG